Molecule: long non-coding RNA, 1244 nt
Filed under: Oreochromis niloticus (Nile tilapia)
Lineage: Eukaryota; Metazoa; Chordata; Actinopteri; Cichliformes; Cichlidae
Description: lncRNA (ENSONIG00000033775.1)
Source: RNAcentral
AUGUUGUCUUUGGACUAUUAUGCACUUUCUUUACUGAUUCUCACCAUUCUAACAGGUGUCAGCUGUGAAGAUCUCACUCCAACCAACAAAGAAGUGUUCAGUGUAGAAGGCAGCACAGUUACUCUGUCCUAUAGAUACUCCAAAAAGGCAGCUGGAAGUGACGAGUUUUACUGGUAUCGACAAUAUCCUGGAAAACCACCAGAGUUCCUGAUCUCUCAUUUACUAUCCGGAGAAAUAAUGAAAGAAGAAAUCUCUGGACUGUCUGUUAGUGUGAGGGAAGAUAAAACACUGAUGACUCUUCAGAUCUCCUCUGCUGCAGUGACAGACUUUGCUGUGUACUACUGUGCUGUGAGGCCCGCAGUGACAGGAAACACCAAAACUCUGUACAAAAACCUUUGGAGCAAAGACAACAGAAUACUCCACAACAUCCACUAGAGGGAGCCACACACUGUUAAACCUCUGUAGCUAUAAUUCACUUGUUAAAUGUGCCUAUGCCAAGAGGCACACUUAUUAGUAUUCGUCGGAUUUAUUAUUAUUAUUCUUCUUAUUAUUAUUCUUCAGUUUCCGCCUGAAAUUUUGCAGCGUAACUCACCCCGCAGUUUUGAGACAAGCUUCAUAUAUGUUACCUCAUUUUGUGCUGCUGGAUCUGGAAUGGUGUGCUAUGACUUUUGAAUAUUUAGCUUUUAUUAAAUACAGGGUGGGCCAUUUAUAUGGAUACAGCGUAAUAAAAUGGGAAUGGUUGGUGAUAUUAAAGUCCUGUUUGUGGCACAUUAGUAUAUGUGAGGGGGCAAACUCCUCAAGAUGGGCGGUGACCAUGGUGGCCAUUUAGAAGUCGGCCAUCUUGGAUACAACUUUUGUUUUUUCAAUAGGAAGAGGGCCAUGUGACACAUCAAAGUUAUUGGUAAUGUCACAAGAAGAACAAUGGUGUGCUUGGUUUCAACGUAACUUUAGUCUUUCAUGAGUUAUUUACAAGUUUCUCUUUGUUCACAGCCAUUGACAUGUCGAAGAGGUUAACACGUGAGGAGCGGAUCGAAAUUGUGUUGAUAUCUGUUGAACGCAGUAACCGGCAGAUUUCAAUGCAAGACACCCUACGAGACCACCCAUCUCCCAUGCUACAGUUAGCAAACUGCUUGCUAAGUUUCGUGAAACUGGUUCAGUGUUGGAUUUGCCAAAAUGUGGACGCAAGAAAACUGUCACUAAUGAAGAAACAUCAGUAGCUGUCCUAGCUUCAUUCAGCAAGAGCC